Molecule: small RNA, 4242 nt
Filed under: uncultured cyanobacterium
Lineage: Bacteria; Bacillati; Cyanobacteriota
Description: bacterial LSU rRNA
Rfam family: Bacterial large subunit ribosomal RNA (bases 1712-4242)
Source: RNAcentral
CGAAAGCCUGACGGAGCAAUACCGCGUGAGGGAGGAAGGCUCUAGGGUUGUAAACCUCUUUUCUCAGGGAAGAACAAAAUGACGGUACCUGAGGAAUAAGCAUCGGCUAACUCCGUGCCAGCAGCCGCGGUAAUACGGAGGAUGCAAGCGUUAUCCGGAUUUAUUGGGCGUAAAGCGUCCGCAGGUGGCAGUUCAAGUCUGCUAUCAAAGACCGGGGCUCAACCCCGGAACAGGCAGUGGAAACUGAACAGCUAGAGUACGGUAGGGGCAGAGGGAAUUCCCAGUGUAGCGGUGAAAUGCGUAGAGAUCAGGAAGAACACCGGUGGCGAAAGCGCUCUGCUAGGACCGAUAACUGACACUCAGGGACGAAAGCUAGGGGAGCGAAUGGGAUUAGAUACCCCAGUAGUCCUAGCCGUAAACGAUGGAUACUAGGCGUUGUCAGUAUCGACCCGCACAGUGCCGUAGCUAACGCGUUAAGUAUCCCGCCUGGGGAGUACGCACGCAAGUGUGAAACUCAAAGGAAUUGACGGGGGCCCGCACAAGCGGUGGAGUAUGUGGUUUAAUUCGAUGCAACGCGAAGAACCUUACCAGGACUUGACAUGUCGCGAAUCCUCUGGAAACAGAGGAGUGCCUUCGGGAGCGCGAACACAGGUGGUGCAUGGCUGUCGUCAGCUCGUGUCGUGAGAUGUUGGGUUAAGUCCCGCAACGAGCGCAACCCUCGUGUUUAGUUGCCAUCAUUAAGUUGGGCACUCUAAACAGACUGCCGGUGACAAACCGGAGGAAGGUGGGGAUGACGUCAAGUCAGCAUGCCCCUUACGUCCUGGGCUACACACGUACUACAAUGGUAGGGACAGAGGGCAGCCAACCCGCGAGGGCGAGCUAAUCCCGUAAACCCUGCCUCAGUUCAGAUUGCAGGCUGCAACUCGCCUGCAUGAAGGCGGAAUCGCUAGUAAUCGCAGGUCAGCAUACUGCGGUGAAUCCGUUCCCGGGCCUUGUACACACCGCCCGUCACACCAUGGAAGUUGGCCACGCCCGAAGUCAUUACUCUAACCUUUCGAGGAGGAGGAUGCCGAAGGCAGGGCUGAUGACUGGGGUGAAGUCGUAACAAGGUAGCCGUACCGGAAGGUGUGGCUGGAUCACCUCCUUUUAGGGAGACCAUCUGAUACUCGACCGAACCUAAACAAUAGGUCGUUGUCAGUCAUCCCUGGUCGUUCGAGGCAUAGAUGUCAAAGCUUUCAAACUAUUAACUGGUUCGGAACAUGGGCUAUUAGCUCAGUUGGUUAGAGCGCACCCCUGAUAAGGGUGAGGUCCCUGGUUCAAAUCCAGGAUGGCCCACCUGGAAAAAAGUGAUGAAUUUUAAGCAAUGAUUAAUGAAUCAUCUAUGUAACGAUGAAUUUAGGACUCAGAGCAUCAAAAUCACAACUACUUAGUGGGGGUAUAGCUCAGUUGGUAGAGCGCCUGCCUUGCACGCAGGAAGUCAGCGGUUCGAGUCCGCUUACCUCCACUCUCACUAGCGAACUAUCUAACUAUAACUAAAACCACAAAACAAAUAGAAAUCAGCACCCAGACUAUUGAAAGAAAGUCGGAAUGCUGGAGUCUAGAACUCUAGUCAGAACCUUGAGAACUGCAUAGAAAUUAAGUCAUCAUCAAGCAGGUGAGUCAUCCGAGGAAUCGGAGCAUCUUACAAGCGACCACCAUGAAAAAAUCAAGUGGUCAAGUUACAAAGGGCUAACGGUGGAUACCUAGGCACACAGAGGCGAAGAAGGACGUGGCGACCGACGAUAAGCUCCGGGGAGCUGGAAGCAAGCAUUGAGCCGGAGAUGUCCGAAUGGGGCAACCCAGUAAGCAUCAGUUGAAUACAUAGACUGAGAGCAGCGAACCCAGCGAAUAGAAACAUCUUAGUAGCUGGAGGAAGAGAAAGCAAUAGCGAUUUCCCAAGUAGUGGUGAGCGAACGGGAAACAGCCUAAACCAGAGGUUUUUACUUCUGGGGUCGUGGGACAGUCAAUUAACGUAUCUUUAAGCUAGACAAGGCAGUUGAAAGCUGCACCAGAGAAGGUGAAAGUCCUGUAGUCGAAAGUAGAAAAGAGCGUGACUGUAUCCCGAGUAGCACGGGGCCCGUGAAAUCCCGUGUGAAUCAGCGAGGACCAUCUCGUAAGGCUAAAUACUACUGUGUGACCGAUAGUGAACCAGUACCGCGAGGGAAAGGUGAAAAGAACCCCGGAAGGGGAGUGAAAUAGAACAUGAAACCGUUAGCUUACAAGCAGUGGGAGGACGAUUUAACGUCUGACCGCGUGCCUGUUGAAGCAUGAGCCGGCGAGUUAUAGGCAGUGGCAGGUUAAGACCCUAUGGGUUGCAGCCAAAGCGAAAGCGAGUUUGACAAGAGCGCCCGUGUGAAAGCACAGGUCACUGUUUAUAGACCCGAACCCGGGUGAUCUAACCAUGUCCAGGAUGAAGCUUGGGUAACACCAAGUGGAGGUCCGAACCGACUGAUGUUGAAAAAUCAGCGGAUGAGGUGUGGUUAGGGGUGAAAUGCCAAUCGAACCCGGAGCUAGCUGGUUCUCCCCGAAAUGUGUUGAGGCACAGCGGUCGAGAUUAAGUUUAGGGGUAGAGCACUGUUUCGGUGCGGGCUGCGAGAGCGGUACCAAAUCGAGGCAAACUCUGAAUACCAAACUGGUACUCGGCCAGUCAGACGGUGGGGGAUAAGCUUCAUCGUCAAGAGGGAAACAGCCCAGACCACCAGCUAAGGUCCCCAAAUGACUGCUAAGUGAUAAAGGAGGUGGGAGUGCAGUGACAACCAGGAGGUUUGCCUAGAAGCAGCCACCCUUAAAAGAGUGCGUAAUAGCUCACUGGUCUAGCGCUCCUGCGCCGAAAAUGAACGGGGCUAAGCAGUCUACCGAAGCUGUGGAAUAAAUGAUGAAAAUCAUGUAUUGGUAGGGGAGCGUUCCGCAACGGUGUGAAGCACUAGCGACAAGCAGGUGUGGACUGUGCGGAAGUAAGAAUGUCGGCUUGAGUAGCGCAAAUGUGGGUGAGAAUCCCACACCCCGAAACCCUAAGGGUUCCUCCGCCAGGCUCGUCCGCGGAGGGUGAGUCAGGUCCUAAGGCGAGGCAGAAGUGCGUAGUCGAUGGAUAACGGGUCAAUAUUCCCGUACCUGACAUUGUUGGUGCAGAGGGACGGAGAAGGCAAUCGCCAGCCGGAUGUUGGUUACCGGUUUAAGUAUUCGAGGUGUUGAGAGACGGAGAAAACGUCUUGAGCUGAGGUACGAGUACGACCUCCUACGGGAGGGAAGUGGUAGAUGUCAGGCUUCCAAGAAAAGCUCUAAACACCAUAAGCAAUGUCAGCCUGUACCCGAAACCGACACAGGUAGGGAGGUAGAGUAUACCAAGGGGCGCGAGAUAACUCUCUCUAAGGAACUCGGCAAAAUGGCCCCGUAACUUCGGGAGAAGGGGUACCUACGCAAGUAGGUCACAGUGAAGAGUCCCAGGCGACUGUUUACCAAAAACACAGGUCUCCGCAAAGUCGUAAGACGACGUAUGGGGGCUGACGCCUGCCCAGUGCCGGAAGGUUAAGGAAGUUGGUCAGGAGUAAUCUGAAGCUAGCGACUGAAGCCCCGGUGAACGGCGGCCGUAACUAUAACGGUCCUAAGGUAGCGAAAUUCCUUGUCGGGUAAGUUCCGACCCGCACGAAAGGCGUAACGAUCUGGGAGCUGUCUCGGAGAGAGACUCGGCGAAAUAGAAUUGUCUGUGAAGAUACGGACUACCUGCACCUGGACAGAAAGACCCUAUGAAGCUUUACUAUAGCCUGGAAUUGUGUUCGGGCUUCGCUUACGCAGGAUAGGUGGGAGGCUGUGAAGUUCUGCUUGUGGGCAGAAUCGAGCCAACGGUGAGAUACCACUUUAGCGAGGCUAGAAUUCUAACCCUUGCCCGUCAUCCGGGAAGGAGACAGUUUCAGGGGGGUAGUUUGACUGGGGCGGUCGCCUCCUAAAAGGUAACGGAGGCGCGCAAAGGUUCCCUCAGGCUGGUUGGAAAUCAGCCAUAGAGUGCAAAGGCAGAAGGGAGCUUGACUGCAAGACCUACAAGUCGAGCAGGGUGGAAACACGGUCUUAGUGAUCCGACGGUGCCGCAUGGAAGGGCCGUCGCUCAACGGAUAAAGGUUACUCUAGGGAUAACAGGCUGAUCUCCCCCAAGAGUCCACAUCGACGGGGAGGUUUGGCACCUCGAUGUCGGCUCAUCGCAACCUGGGC